Molecule: ribosomal RNA, 341 nt
Filed under: uncultured soil bacterium
Lineage: Bacteria
Description: bacterial SSU rRNA
Rfam family: Bacterial small subunit ribosomal RNA
Source: RNAcentral
AGGACGAACGCUGGCGGCGCGCUUAACACAUGCAAGUCGAGCGAGAACCAGGGCUUCGGCUCUGGGGACAGCGGCGAACGGGUGAGUAACACGUGAGUAAUCUGCCCUCGACACUGGGAUAGCCCGGGGAAACCCGGAUUAAUACCGGAUAGCCUUUCGAGCUCUCGGACUCGUCAGAAAAGGAUGGCUUCGGCUUUCGGUUGAGGAUGAGCUUGCGGCGGAUUAGCUAGUUGGUGAGGUAACGGCUCACCAAGCCUACGAUCCUUAGCUGAUCUGAGAGGAUGAUCAGCCACACUGGGACUGAGACCACGGCCCCGACUACCGUACCGGUACGGACGACG